This 1098-nucleotide long non-coding RNA is filed under the name Equus caballus (horse). Its description in RNAcentral is "lncRNA (ENSECAG00000053745.1)". The record is from RNAcentral. Lineage: Eukaryota; Metazoa; Chordata; Mammalia; Perissodactyla; Equidae.
UUCCCUUCCUUCCUGCUUUCUUUUUCCUCCCAUUCCUUCUUUCUGUAUUUUAUCCAGUAAGAUUAUAUUCACCAAAAUACGUGUUCUCUCUCCCAGAUAUGGUGGCUGUGUUGCAGCAGGAGAUGCUCUUGAGAGUUAGUAGGCUGGGGGUUUAUUCGCCCCACAAAUAUUGAUUGAGCUCCCUUGCCUUGAACGGUGAUUGGAGAAGAAGGCAGAGGGCAAGGAAAAUGAAGAACCCAUCAAGAGAUUCCAGCAUUAUAAAUGAAGUUCUUCUGGAAGAAAUGAAUCAAUCAAGAUGGUGGUUCUGUCUCUAAAAGUCAAGAUCUCAUCAGAUUUAGAUUUGUAAAAUUAGGUUUCUAAAAACUCCAGAUGGGCGCUUUAGUUCCAGCCUCCUCUUCGCGAGUCUUUGUCGUGCCAAUCACCGUGGGGAUGACAUGCAGAUAAAGAUAAGGUUCUCCUCCUUGAAGAGUUUACUAUCUAGCAAGGGUAUAUAAGCCAAUUUUACUAUGAUCUCUGAAUGGAGUUAUUCUUAUGCUGUGAGCGUAUACUAACAGGAUAGCCAAAUAAAGCAACUCACUUGCAGCUCUCUUUGCUCCCAUCUGGUGAGAAAUGAGGAAGUCUUCUUGUUGAUUUUCCUGAAGCAUCUCCCCUGUUGUGCUCUUCCUUGAUAACAUGCUGCUCUGGAUGUUUUUAUGAUCAGAAUAUUGGAUGGACACAGACCUAAUGAGGUAGGUGGCUGACCUUAGGUUCACAUCCUGCCAGAUCUAAGGUAAGUUUUGUGUCCUUCUUUGGACACUUCAUGGAUUUGUUGAGCAGGCAACAUAGACCCUCCAAGAACACAUUUAUAGCCACCAUUGCAUUGACUGGGAAAGCAAAGCAGCAACAGCCAAUGGCCAUCAUAUGCUAAUCUAAACUUUUUGAACAUAACACUGUGUUUCUUCAUCCAGAACUCAGGGUAUUUGAUUGGUACUCAGAGCAUUCAUUCAUUUAUACAUUUAUCAAAUACCGAUUGAGCAUCUCCAUGUGCCAGGUUCUGCGGACAGAUAAUGAAAAAGGCAUAAUGACAUCCUAAGGUAGCUUUCAGUAGAUGGAGGAGGC